Rosa chinensis is the source of this 486-nucleotide long non-coding RNA. RefSeq lists it as uncharacterized. The record is from RefSeq and is a predicted model, not a curated record. Lineage: Eukaryota; Viridiplantae; Streptophyta; Magnoliopsida; Rosales; Rosaceae. The transcript is spliced from 3 exons.
AGUGCUCUAUCAUACAUUCUUCUUACAAUGACCAGUUGGUUCAUGGCACUUUCUUGGCUUUUUGCUCCCUAUUUGUUCAACCCAUGCCCAUCUGGGUUUGAGUGGCAGAACUGAAAGAUUGGUGGGCAUUUUGGUGGAGUUUGCUUAGUCUACGUUACGUGAAAUUAAAAGAACUUUUUGUUUCUGGGGAGCGCAAAUGUUUCCAAAGAUUGAUUGGAAUACUAUUGCAGUUGAGAUUAUUGAUUUGCUGGGUAUUUGAAAACAGAGAGAUAAAGUCAUUUAUAUGAGAUAUUGAAAGCUUGGAUGAAGUGAAGAAGAGGUUCAAGGAAGAGUAGCUGUUCAGCCUUUAGUGAUAUUGUUCUCAAUGUUGUUCUUGUGUUUUAAUGUAUGAAUGAUUGAGAAAUACUAUGUUUAUGGUACAUUUGAUGCUUUAAUGUAUGGAUUGGAGUACUUGAAUUGAUGAAUUGCAUUCAGAUUUCUUUCUAA